Molecule: transfer RNA, 76 nt
Filed under: Trichonephila clavata
Lineage: Eukaryota; Metazoa; Arthropoda; Arachnida; Araneae; Nephilidae
Description: tRNA-Trp
Rfam family: tRNA
About the family: Transfer RNA (tRNA) molecules are approximately 80 nucleotides in length. Their secondary structure includes four short double-helical elements and three loops (D, anti-codon, and T loops).
Source: RNAcentral
GGUACGGUGGCGCAACGGUAGCACGUCUGACUCCAGUUCAGAAGGUUGCGUGUUCAAAUCACGUCCGGGUCAAUCG